RNAcentral lists this ribosomal RNA (468 nucleotides) under uncultured bacterium. RNAcentral describes it as "partial 16S ribosomal RNA". It matches the Rfam family "Bacterial small subunit ribosomal RNA", at positions 28 to 507 of the family's 1533-position model. The record is from RNAcentral.
GACGAACGCUGGCGGCGUGCUUAACACAUGCAAGUCGAACGGAAAGGCCCUGCUUUUGUGGGGUGCUCGAGUGGCGAACGGGUGAGUAACACGUGAGUAACCUGCCCUUGACUUUGGGAUAACUUCAGGAAACUGGGGCUAAUACCGGAUAGGAGCUCCUGCUGCAUGGUGGGGGUUGGAAAGUUUCGGCGGUUGGGGAUGGACUCGCGGCUUAUCAGCUUGUUGGUGGGGUAGUGGCUUACCAAGGCUUUGACGGGUAGCCGGCCUGAGAGGGUGACCGGCCACAUUGGGACUGAGAUACGGCCCAGACUCCUACGGGAGGCAGCAGUGGGGAAUAUUGCACAAUGGGCGGAAGCCUGAUGCAGCAACGCCGCGUGCGGGAUGACGGCCUUCGGGUCGUAAACCGCUUUCGCCUGUGACGAAGCGUGAGUGACGGUAAUGGGUAAAGAAGCACCGGCCAACUACGUG